This 497-nucleotide ribosomal RNA is filed under the name uncultured bacterium. RNAcentral describes it as "partial 16S ribosomal RNA". It matches the Rfam family "Bacterial small subunit ribosomal RNA", at positions 28 to 507 of the family's 1533-position model. The record is from RNAcentral.
GAUGAACGCUGGCGGCGUGCCUAAUACAUGCAAGUCGAGCGAACAGAUGAGGAGCUUGCUCCUCUGACGUUAGCGGCGGACGGGUGAGUAACACGUGGAUAACCUACCUAUAAGACUGGGAUAACUUCGGGAAACCGGAGCUAAUACCGGAUAAUAUAUUGAACCGCAUGGUUCAAUAGUCAAAGACGGUUUUGCUGUCACUUAUAGAUGGAUCCGCGCCGCAUUAGCUAGUUGGUAAGGUAACGGCUUACCAAGGCAACGAUGCGUAGCCGACCUGAGAGGGUGAUCGGCCACACUGGAACUGAGACGCGGUCCAGACUCCUACGGGAGGCAGCAGUAGGGAAUCUUCCGCAAUGGGCGAAAGCCUGACGGAGCAACGCCGCGUGAGUGAUGAAGGUCUUCGGAUCGUAAAACUCUGUUAUUAGGGAAGAACAAAUGUGUAAGUAACUAUGCACGUCUUGACGGUACCUAAUCAGAAAGCCACGGCUAACUACGUG